AUGUGAUCAUAUCACCUUGCAUGGGUAGAAGAACUUUGCAGUCUGAUGAUCUGUGGAUUCGAGAUUUAAAGUUGAGCUGUGCAUGUGCCCGACCUUUACAGAUAUCUACUCGAUCUCAGACUAGGAUACUUUCUCUAUCUUCAAUUCAUUUACUCCUAGAUAAAUCUACAAGCUUCUGGAUUAGCCUUAGAUUUGAUCUCCGAUCAGGUUUCGAUUAGUGCUAGAUCGCAGCCUUCUUGUUUCUUCACGU
Molecule: long non-coding RNA, 250 nt
Filed under: Elaeis guineensis (African oil palm)
Lineage: Eukaryota; Viridiplantae; Streptophyta; Magnoliopsida; Arecales; Arecaceae
Description: long non-coding RNA (EGUI_LNC055020)
Source: RNAcentral